AACGGCGGGUGCAAGCGUUGCUCGGAAUUACUGGGCGUAAAGCGCGUGUAGGCGGUCUCGUGUGUCUGGCGUGAAAGCCCCGGGCUCACCACGGGAAGUGCGUUGGAAACUGCGAGACUAGAGUUCCGGAGACGAAGGUGGAAUUCCAGUUGUAGCGGUGAAAUGCGUAGAUAUCUGGAAGAACACCGGUGGCGAAGGCGGCCUUCUGGACGGUGACUGACGAUGAGACGCGAAAGCGUUUGGAGCAAACAGG
Molecule: ribosomal RNA, 253 nt
Filed under: uncultured bacterium
Lineage: Bacteria
Description: partial 16S ribosomal RNA
Rfam family: Bacterial small subunit ribosomal RNA
Source: RNAcentral